AGAAUCAACGCUGGCGGCGUGCCUAACACAUGCAAGUCGAACGAGAAAGGGUAGCAAUACCUGAGUAAAGUGGCGCACGGGUGAGUAACACGUGACUAACCUACCCUGGAGUGGGGGAUAACUGAGGGAAACCUUAGCUAAUACCGCAUAACACCUACGGGUCAAAGGAGCAAUUCGCUUCAGGAGGGGGUCGCGGCCGAUUAGUUAGUUGGCGGGGUAAUGGCCCACCAAGACAGUGAUCGGUAUCCGGCCUGAGAGGGCGCACGGACACACUGGAACUGAAACACGGUCCAGACUCCUACGGGAGGCAGCAGUGGGGAAUUUUGCGCAAUGGGGGAAACCCUGACGCAGCAACGCCGCGUGGAGGAUGAAGUCCUUCGGGACGUAAACUCCUUUCGAUCGGGACGAUAAUGACGGUACCGGAAGAAGAAGCCCGGCUAACUUCGCGCCAGCAGCCGC
RNAcentral lists this ribosomal RNA (459 nucleotides) under uncultured bacterium. Its description in RNAcentral is "SSU rRNA". It matches the Rfam family "Bacterial small subunit ribosomal RNA", at positions 26 to 518 of the family's 1533-position model. The record is from RNAcentral.